Piliocolobus tephrosceles (Ugandan red Colobus) is the source of this 518-nucleotide long non-coding RNA. RefSeq lists it as uncharacterized. The record is from RefSeq and is a predicted model, not a curated record. Lineage: Eukaryota; Metazoa; Chordata; Mammalia; Primates; Cercopithecidae. The transcript has 3 exons.
UGUGACUGGCACAGCACUUUAGGAGGCCAAGGUGGGUUGAUAGCUUGAGGAGGCCAGGAGUUUGAGCAACAUGGUAAAACCUCUUCUCUACAAAAAAUACAAAAAAUUAGCCAGGUACAGGGUCGCAUGCCUAUGGUCUCAGUGACUCCAGUGGCUGAGGUGGGAGGACUGUUUGAGCCUGGGAGGUUGAAGUUGCAGUGAACUGUGAUCAUGCCACAGCACUCCAGCCUGAGCAACAGAGCAAGACCCUACCUCAAAACAACAGCAACAACAUAGGUUGCGCAGUCCUUUGGACAUCUGGAAAGGAGGCUCGAUGCUGAUGUGGAGAAAGGACACAGCAGUGCUACCCUGGAGGCAGGAGGCCAACUGGGAACCAGAGAGGAGCCUGGGCUAGAGAAGCCAAAUAAUCUGGCGUGUACCUGGGAGGCGGAGCUUGCAGUGAGCCGAGAUCGCGCCACUUCACUCCAGGCUGGGCAACAGAGCGAGACUCCGUCUCAGAAAAAAAAAAAAAAAAAAAA